AGCUAAUUCCCAGAUCUUCCAAAUGAGCUUUUUCCCCACCCCCCUUCCAUAUGUCACUGUCCCCCUGCUUUUUUAACGGCCGGAAGACAGGCCAGAAACCAUGAGCCCUCUUGCAGCCUUGUUCAUAUCCUCUCCUUGCACCAGCAGAAUCAUGUAAGAUCUUCAGCUGUAGUAUUUAUUAGUCUCCAGUGAUAGACAAACCUAGAAGGUCAUGUACAUAAACUAGCACAGCAAUUGCUUGACAGUAUAAAGGACAUAUCAAAGUUUCUUGUUCAUUUGAUCAAAUUCUAGGUGACUCUAGAAGGAACACAAGUGUCAUGUGGAUUAGUGGAUAACUAGAUAGCUCAGUGCACCGGAGAGAACCAUAAGUGGUUUUAAUUCUGCAGUCCUGUGCCAUUGCUGGCUACUGACAGCAUGAAGUACCAAAAAAAAUGCAGGCCCUGAAGUCACCGGUGUCCAUGUCUGUGUUUUAGAUUGACAGUGAAACAUAGGAAAUCACGGUGAUGUUCACCUCUGGCAAAUCAAGUUCAAACAUUUUUCAGAUCUCCUGCUCUUCUUCCUCUUCUUCCCAUUCCAGUCCACUGUUUUGAGUGUGGCUGAUGGUGGCAGAGGAAACGGAUUGAGCAUCUUUACAACACAGCCUCUGGUGUUCCUGCACCUCAGCUCUCCAGGUGUACAAACACACACGCA
RNAcentral lists this long non-coding RNA (690 nucleotides) under Struthio camelus australis. Its description in RNAcentral is "lncRNA (ENSSCUG00000015557.1)". The record is from RNAcentral. Lineage: Eukaryota; Metazoa; Chordata; Aves; Struthioniformes; Struthionidae.